GAUGAACGCUAGCUACAGGCUUAACACAUGCAAGUCGAGGGGAAACGACAUCGAAAGCUUGCUUUUGAUGGGCGUCGACCGGCGCACGGGUGAGUAACGCGUAUCCAACCUGCCCAUCACUUGGGAAUAACCUUGCGAAAGUAAGACUAAUACCCAAUGACAUCCCACGAAGACAUCUGAAUGGGAUUAAAGAUUUAUCGGUGAUGGAUGGGGAUGCGUCUGAUUAGCUUGUUGGCGGGGUAACGGCCCACCAAGGCAACGAUCAGUAGGGGUUCUGAGAGGAAGGUCCCCCACAUUGGAACUGAGACACGGUCCAAACUCCUACGGGGGGCAGCAGUGAGGAAUAUUGGUCAAUGGGCGAGAGCCUGAACCAGCCAAGUAGCGUGCAGGAUGACGGCCCUAUGGGUUGUAAACUGCUUUUAUAAGGGAAUAAAGUGGGUCUCGUGAGACUUUUUGCAUGUACCUUAUGAAUAAGGACCGGCUAAUUCCGU
This 491-nucleotide ribosomal RNA is filed under the name uncultured bacterium. Its description in RNAcentral is "partial 16S ribosomal RNA". It matches the Rfam family "Bacterial small subunit ribosomal RNA", at positions 28 to 506 of the family's 1533-position model. The record is from RNAcentral.